This 300-nucleotide ribosomal RNA is filed under the name uncultured prokaryote. Its description in RNAcentral is "bacterial SSU rRNA". It matches the Rfam family "Bacterial small subunit ribosomal RNA", at positions 355 to 646 of the family's 1533-position model. The record is from RNAcentral.
UGAGGAAUUUUGCGCAAUGGGCGCAAUCCUGACGCAGCAACGCCGCGUGGGUGAUGAAGGCCUUCGGGUCGUAAAGCCCUGUCAGGUGGGAAGAAUGUCCCGGGACUGAACAGGUUUCGGGAGUGACGGUACCACCAGAGGAAGCACCGGCUAACUCCGUGCCAGCAGCCGCGGUAAUACGGAGGGUGCAAGCGUUAUUCGGAAUUGCUGGGCGUAAAGCGCGUGUAGGCGGUCGUGCAAGUCUGAUGUGAAAGCCCCGGGCUUAACCCGGGAAGUGCAUUGGAAACUGCAGGUCUUGAG